Molecule: ribosomal RNA, 380 nt
Filed under: uncultured eukaryote
Lineage: Eukaryota
Description: partial 18S ribosomal RNA
Rfam family: Eukaryotic small subunit ribosomal RNA
Source: RNAcentral
CAAUAGCGUAUAUUAAAGUUGUUGCAGUUAAAAAGCUCGUAGUUGGAUUUGUGGCGUACGGUGUGUUCCGGGCACUUGUUGUCUGAGUAACCUGCUGUUGCCAUCCUUGGGUGGAACCUGUGUGGCAUUAGGUUGUCGUGCAGGGGAUGCCCAUCAUUUACUGUGAAAAAAUUAGAGUGUUCAAAGCAGGCUUAUGCCGUUGAAUAUAUUAGCAUGGAAUAAUGAGAUAGGACUUUUUUGCUAUUUUGUUGGUUUGCGCAAGAAGGUAAUGAUUAAUAGGGACAGUUGGGGGUAUUCGUAUUCCAUUGUCAGAGGCGAAAUUCUUGGAUUUUUGGAAGACGAACUACUGCGAAAGCAUUUACCAAGGAUGUUUUCAUUAA